Molecule: ribosomal RNA, 446 nt
Filed under: uncultured bacterium
Lineage: Bacteria
Description: partial 16S ribosomal RNA
Rfam family: Bacterial small subunit ribosomal RNA
Source: RNAcentral
CCUACGGGAGGCAGCAGUCGAGAAUCAUUCACAAUGGGGGAAACCCUGAUGGUGCGACGCCGCGUGGGGGAAUGAAGGUCUUCGGAUUGUAAACCCCUGUCAUGUGGGAGCAAAUUAAAAAGAUAGUACCACAAGAGGAAGAGACGGCUAACUCUGUGCCAGCAGCCGCGGUAAUACAGAGGUCUCAAGCGUUGUUCGGAAUCACUGGGCGGAAAGCGUGCGUAGGCUGUUUCGUAAGUCGUGUGUGAAAGGCGCGGGCUCAACCCGCGGACGGCACAUGAUAUUGCGGGACUAGAGUAAUGGAGGGGGAACCGGAAUUCUCGGUGUAGCAGUGAAAUGCGUAGAUAUCGGGAGGAACACUCGUGGCGAAGGCGGGUUCCUGGACAUUAACUGACGGUGAGGCACGAAGGCCAGGGGAGCGAAAGGGAUUAGAUACCCCGGUAGUC